AAUCAUCAACCACCUCAUCUUCUUGAGAGGGUUGGACUUGGAGGUUUCUGCUGGCCCCUUCUGGGGCCCGGCUCCUCUGAAAAGCAUUAGCAGGGGCUCAUGUUGUGCGAUCUGCGGCCUUGUGUGAUAGUCUAUCUACACUCGGCUCAGCCACAUUCACCCAGCUUCCAGCUGUCUGCUUGCGCGGACAACUCAUUGACC
This 201-nucleotide unclassified non-coding RNA is filed under the name uncultured Pluteus. Its description in RNAcentral is "sequence contains ITS2". Lineage: Eukaryota; Fungi; Basidiomycota; Agaricomycetes; Agaricales; Pluteaceae. The record is from RNAcentral.